AGAAGUUUGCUCGCGGCGCGGUCCGGUGAACAUUACUGUAUUUCAUUUGGGGAACAGCAACAGCAAGAGGCUCUGGAAAAAUAAUACUAAUUAAAAAAAAGACGAAAAGUAAGGCUUUCCAGGGAAUGCCGAGGAAUAUCCAACUCAACAGCAACACCAGCCGCAGCGAAUUAUUAUAAUUAUAUAUAUAUAUAUAUAUAUAUGUUAAAAAAUCAGUGAGAUUUAUCAUUGAUGUGGCCAAAUUAGUGGAAAGUUCGGGUCAGUAGGGGGACAGCGGGCUCGCGCGCGGACUGUCGGAGGGGUGCUUUGAAUUUGUGGGUCCUGGAGAAGAAGCGCAGCGCGAAACAGAUUCAGAGAGAGAGAGCGAGAGAAGAGGAGGAGGGGGAAACAAGGAAAGAAAAGAAGAGCCGUCCGAGUGAAAGUGAGAAAGAGUCCCGCUCAGAAUGAAUAACAACAAACCCGAGAAAGAAAACGAGCCGAGUGAAUUCACCAACCACGAGGAGGAGGUCCGAACACUAUUUGUCAGUGGGCUACCACUGGAUAUUAAACCGCGGGAGCUCUAUCUCCUCUUCAGACCAUUUAAGGGCUAUGAAGGCUCCUUGAUAAAGCUCACUUCUAAACAGCCAGUGGGGUUUGUCAGUUUUGACAGUCGAUCAGAGGCGGAGGCUGCUAAGAAUGCCUUGAACGGGGUACGAUUUGACCCAGAGAUUCCCCAGACUCUGCGGCUGGAAUUCGCCAAGGCCAACACCAAGAUGGCCAAAAACAAGCUGGUUGGCACUCCCAACCCCCCUCCUUCCCAGCAGAGCCCCGGGCCACAGUUCAUAAGCAGAGACCCAUAUUCGUUGGCUCCCGCCUGCAGAUGGAACUCCUCAGGGAUGGAAGUCCAGGCAGUUCUGCUGAAGCAUGUGUUCCUGAUGUGUGAUGGUGGCCGUGGCCGGCUGUGACGGGCGUUGCCGAUUGCCUCUCGUGUCCUAUUAGAAACCAGGAGGACCGACCUAACUCCAGCUGCUGGAGCAGCGCACCGUCGGCAGCAGCAGCCUCAUGGGCCUCAGGACAUACUAGACCCCAGCCUCCAUCACACAUCGAGUCCCCCCCCUCCCCGAAAGUCCCUCCAAAUCUUUUUUAUACUGUUACGUAAAUUUACAGGCAGCGCUUGGCUACACCUCCUCUGACACCUCCGUGAAAGGUACCAGGCAUGCACAACAAAGGCGUCCGCGCUCUUUGUUUACCGACUGACUGCAUCGCCCACCUAGCUGGUCUCUCGCUCUGCAUCCUCUACGUGCGGGUGUAAAGCCGGCCACCUAAAAGGAGUGCAAACGUUGUUUUAUGCAGCCACUUUGCAGACGCCCGGAAGUGUGGCUAAAGUGCUACUGAGUAAUGUUAUUAUAUGACUAUAAUUAUUACUAUUCUGUAUAUCAUUCAUAUUAAUGUUAUUAUGAUUAUGAAAUUACAUGUUGACGCAUGACUUUGCAAAAAAAACAAACAAAAAAAUAGAGCGUGAGAGAGAAAACAAUGAAAAAACAAUGCUGUACAUUUUUAGAUAUUUUAAAGAAAUACAAAAAGGUAUUUUUGUAAUCAAGACGAUGUUUGAAACGGUUUUGUUUGGGUUGAUUUAUGUUGUGCUAAAUCUUGUGAGGAUGUUUUAUACCUUUUCUUUUUUUGUUCCCUUUCUGUUCAGUGCCAUUUUAAAACAAGUCGCCCUGCUAUACCAAAGCAGUCCUGCCAGUUUGCUCUUGUCUCUGCUCCAAAAGGAAUUUUGAUUCGCUCAUAUGUGUCGUUUUUUUUUUUUUUUUUUUUGUCCCUCUGUGACGUCUUUACCCGACGAAACGAAACACAGAAGUCUUUUGUCUGAAGCGAUUUUAACGUUGAGUGACAAAACGCACCUGAUCCGGCUCGUAGUUUGGCUGUUUGAGGUAAUCAGAUGUGUGAAAAGAGGCACUGACAGGAAAAAGCCAUCGCCGGUGGAAGGUAGCGUGACCCCAAUGUCACGUAUAGCGUGAUGGCAAUACGCGGCAAACUGAGCCCUGCUAUAAUUAGGAAAUCGCUCCUUCGCUGUGUAGCAGGAGGACAGCAGCACAGUAUAGAGAAACAAGACCAAAGCUUUUUUUUCUUUUCUUUUUUUUUACACUGGAGAGCUAUCUAGGCUAGUGGUUUAUUCCAUUUUUGACUACUUUUGUAGUCCUCAGUCUGAUUUCUUAUGAAGUAUGACAUUAUUUUUGCAGCAUGUCCCUUUUGGUGUCACUCCAAAGAGCCACUCUGCAUCUGAAAGGAUAUUCACUUUAAGCGAUUUGUGUCUUUUGUCUAUUUUUAGGGAACCGGUGUGAUUCAACCUGCUUUUGUAAAGUUUGAAUUUACAUAAUAAUGAUUGGAGUGAGAUGUAUAAAAAAAAAGGAAAAGAUAAAACAAUCUUUUGUAAUCUUGCAAUAACGUCUUUGCUGUAUGACAUAUCAUCGAGUGAUCAUAUUUCUGUGACAUCUUGACGCCAAAAUCUUCAUUCGUUAAUACGAAACCAGUCUCCGAAGGCCAAGUCGCAUUUCACGCUGAUGUGACAAUCAAACGCCGUAAGGAGACGAGCGUCCCCUGUGAUGUUUAGCCCCUCUGUGUACAAUUAUAUCGGACUGGUUGAAUCAUACAGUAGUCAAGUGUUUGUAAUUAAUGAUAAUAUGCAUCAUAUCUAUUAAAUCAGCUGAAGGGUUUUUUUUGUUUUGGUUUUUAUUUUUGCUUUUACAGACAUUUUUAAGCCAAGUGUGGCACUCAGAUUUAUUAGAACAAGUAUUUAUACAACGUGCGUGAAUGUUAUGUGUGUUUUUAAUGGGUGUUGUCUUUUUAAGGUUCAUAGAAAAUGCCCAUCAUAUAAUUCAUUGUAAGUAUUAUUGUAAGUUUAAUUGUAUUUUCAUUUGGUAAGAAUUACUAGAGCUUUUUUCUUCGUUUGUAUCGGUCUGAUUGGAGCAUACUGUAUGUAACAUGUGAAUACUGUUUUACCUGCAUAAUUCACUGUGAAAUCCAGAGAAGAAGAAGAUAUACUCCUCGAACGAAUG
This is an RNA transcript of Pelmatolapia mariae (spotted tilapia), 3038 nucleotides long. It is a transcript of the gene named RNA-binding protein with multiple splicing-like, with no coding region annotated. NCBI's taxonomy places the organism in Eukaryota, Metazoa, Chordata, Actinopteri, Cichliformes, Cichlidae. The transcript is spliced from 8 exons. The record is from RefSeq and is a predicted model, not a curated record.